GCCAGACUCCUACGGGAGGCAGCAGUGGGGGAUAUUGCACAAUGGGGGAACCCUGAUGCAGCGACGCCGCGUGGGUGAAGGAGCGUUUCGGCGCGUAAAGCCCUAUCGGCAGGGAAGAAGGAGGACGGUACCUGACUAAGAAGCCCCGGCUAACUACGUGCCAGCAGCCGCGGUAAUACGUAGGGGGCAAGCGUUAUCCGGAGUUACUGGGUGUAAAGGGGGCGCAGACGGCAGCGCAAGCCAGGAGUGAAAGCCCGUGGCUUAACCACGGGACUGCUCUGGAAACUGUGCAGCUAGAGUGCAGGAGAGGCAGGCGGAAUUCCUAGUGUAGCGGUGAAAUGCGUAGAUAUUAGGAGGAACACCGGUGGCGAAGGCGGCCUGCUGGACUGUAACUGACGUUGAGGCUCGAAAGCGUGGGGAGCAAACAGGAUUAGAUACCCUGGUACGC
Molecule: ribosomal RNA, 448 nt
Filed under: uncultured bacterium
Lineage: Bacteria
Description: partial 16S ribosomal RNA
Rfam family: Bacterial small subunit ribosomal RNA
Source: RNAcentral